GAAAUGCGAUAAGUAGUGUGAAUUGCAGAAUUCAGUGAAUCAUCGAAUCUUUGAACGCACAUUGCGCCCCUUGGUAUUCCAUGGGGCAUGCCUGUUCGAGCGUCAUUUGUACCCUCAAGCUCUGCUUGGUGUUGGGUGUUUGUCCCCGUCUCCGCGCGUGGACUCGCCCCAAAGUGAUUGGCAGCCGGCGUACUGGUCCCGGAGCGCAGCACAUGUCGCGCAAACGAGUGCCUUGGUACGGCGGCGUCCAUAAGCCCCUCUCUCACGCUCUUGACCUCGGAUAAGGUAGGGAUACCCGCUGAACUUAAGC
This 310-nucleotide unclassified non-coding RNA is filed under the name plant metagenome. Its description in RNAcentral is "partial contains 5.8S ribosomal RNA, internal transcribed spacer 2, and large subunit ribosomal RNA". The stretch from base 1 to 105 matches the Rfam family "5.8S ribosomal RNA", at positions 50 to 154 of the family's 154-position model. The record is from RNAcentral.